RNAcentral lists this unclassified non-coding RNA (22 nucleotides) under Chlamydomonas reinhardtii. RNAcentral describes it as "small RNA Cre_2123". Lineage: Eukaryota; Viridiplantae; Chlorophyta; Chlorophyceae; Chlamydomonadales; Chlamydomonadaceae. The record is from RNAcentral.
UAAAGUUCAGAUUCUCUGACUU